UCCACAUAGGGCAGCUUCAGCCUGAGCUGUGGCAUAGUUUCUGUGCCCUGUGCGAGGGCUGUAGAAGUUUGAUUUUUGCUUUUGUCUCCAGCAUGGUAGGAUGUGGUUUGUUCUUGAUGCUAGCCUCAUCUCCAUCCUCUGAAUGGCACCUGUCAGAAAGUGACGUGGCAUCCAAAUGCAUUUGCAGUGCACUUCUGAGCUUCUGUAUUCUGCGUGGACCAGUCAGCUGGAAACAUGUAUUUGAAGUGUGCACAUGGAAAUGUUUAUCUGGAGCACACCCCACUCUGCACCACAGGCAUCUGAUGGGGUCCGUGCUGGUUUUUCUCUGCAUCUGUCCGUGUUGCAUUGGUGGUGUCAGUAAGCACAAGCUGGAAAUGGCAUACAGAUUGUUUUAAUUUGCACCAAGGACAUCUUUGCCUCUAUGAAUAAGAAAGCAUUUUUGAAAACAUCCUUCAUCUACUAAAUUGAGUGCUCCUAGUUUCCAGUUCUACAGUACGUUGUCAGCAGGAUCAGAGCUGGGCCUACAAGGCACUCUGCUCUGCCCCAGGCUGUGCUGCUGGCAUGUUGCAGGACAUGGAGCUGUGCUGGAGAGCCUGAGCUGCCCCAGUGAGCGUACCGAAGGCUGCUGAAGGAAGGAAGUGGAAUUCUGGGCAGUCUGGAGAUGUUGAGGAGAACCUUGCAAUGCUCAACAAUUCCUGAGCAGCCUGCUGUAAACACUUGCAGUGCCGUGACGUUCUGCCAUCCGAAGGGGAAUUAAUCGCUGAGCAGCAUGAAGAUUGCACAGCACAGACAACAGGCAUGGUCCAGGCCUCAAGGGACUAAUUAUGUUCUUAAAGGGCUGCCCAUCCUGCUUCCCAGCAAGACCUCAGCUGUGUGUGUACCAGGAAAGCAAAUAAGAAAGGUCUUCACAAAAAAGCUCUAAGAAUGUGAAACUGGUACCUGGAGAUACAGGGGGGAUUCUGCCUGUUCACAACAUAUCUGACAGCGUAAACUGCCCAAAGAAGGCUUUUUUGAUUCACAGAACAGCUACAUCUGAGGAACUGCUGUCAGAGUCACAGGAGUCAACUCCCUUUGCAUAAAUGUGUGCCAACAAAGAAGGAAAAAAAAAACAACCCGACAAAUUAGUUGGAUGGUGCAAGAAACCAGUUAGAAAGCAGCUCCUGGAGGCAGAGUGGUGUAAGGAUUGAAUUCCUGAACUUGCUGAGUGACAGAAACUGCUCUGGAGAAGCCAACGAGAGGUAGGCUGGCUUUGGGAACUCAUGUUAUCUCUUAAUGACUCUUUAUGUUUUCCUUCAAUAUUUUCCCAGUAAUUACUUUUUUUUCCCUGACUCUCCCUGGAGUAUUAAGUCAGUCUUAUUAUCACAAAUAUUAACUGAACUGAAAUGAGAUUAGGAACAGAGGUCAUCUUAAAGGAAGGCUAAUGUGAAUACAGGAUGAAAUACAGAGCAAGGCCAUGUGUCUAGCUACAGUGAUCUGGAAAAGAAACCAUGCUUUACUCAAGAAAAAUGGUUUUGGUCUUGUUUAUAAGUGUAUAUGCAAUAGCCAUGUUGGGAUUAUUAUUAGUCCUUAUUGCAGCAUCUGGAUCAGCUCCUUUCAUGUAGGUUAGGUGAUAGCCAGGUAUUCCAUGCUUUGGAAGCUUAAAAUAUGGUUUCUGCUCUGCUCAUGUUCCCACUGAGCGGGUUUUAGUGCUAGAAAGUCACCAGCUUUAUGGGAAACUGCAGUAUGUGACAAAUAGGCAAUUUGCAGGGGAAAAAGCACCAUGCAAUUUAAUGAUAAAUAGUGAUACACUAAAUAAAUUAUUUAAAAGAACCAACUCUUCUUUAAUAUAAUUACAUUCUAUUUCAUUUCUGAGGAGAGGA
Long non-coding RNA from Lagopus muta (rock ptarmigan), 1859 nucleotides. RefSeq lists it as uncharacterized. The record is from RefSeq and is a predicted model, not a curated record. Lineage: Eukaryota; Metazoa; Chordata; Aves; Galliformes; Phasianidae. The transcript has 9 exons.